Osmia bicornis bicornis is the source of this 916-nucleotide long non-coding RNA. RefSeq lists it as uncharacterized. The record is from RefSeq and is a predicted model, not a curated record. The transcript is spliced from 6 exons. Lineage: Eukaryota; Metazoa; Arthropoda; Insecta; Hymenoptera; Megachilidae.
AUACAGACAAAAGGACAUAGAUACCAGAUCACAAGGCCUGUUAGUCUUGUUCGGUGCUUCAACAGGAUCACACAGCCUUAUAUACACCCAAAUAUUAUAAAGAUCAUUAAGCAUUUUGCUUAUCCUGUAAGGGCCCGUCCAGUCACAAUCAAACUUAGAAAUUCUGGGCUCCUUGAAUUCUGGGCCGCAAUAGUCUGGGUAGUGGUGAUUUUAGCAAAGAGCUCGUCAAAGUGUUGCGCAAAGAGAACCUAAAGACUGAGGAUGGAAAGCUGUUGAAGUUAUUCUUUGGAUCUUGAAAAUCCUACAAAAAUGUUUCAUCACCUGACUAGUGAAAUUCCUUCCCUGGUCAGUAUGGAUUACCCGCGGACACCCAAAUCUGCUUAUAAAUUGCUCAGCGAAUGCAUGAGCGACAGUUUUCGUGUCGAUGGUUCUCAAAGGUAAUGGUCCCACUAUAUCCAUUUGGAUUUUUUCAAAAGCCUGACGAGGAGUAUCCGUGAUUAACAUCGGCUGUUUAGUUUUAGCGGAAUAAUUUUUAUUCCUUUGACAGACAGGGCAGGAGCGAACGAACUCCGCAAUUUCCUUUGCCAUGCCCGGCCAAUAAAAACGUUCACGAAUGAGUUGAUUCAAUUUAUAAAUGCCCCUAUGACCUCCUACCACCGAAUCGUGAUGUUCUCGAAUAAUCUGAGACCGUGUCGACUCCGACGGAACUUCAACUUCACCAGCACACAAGGUAAUUACGUAUUCUGAAUUCUCAAAAAUUUGUUUAAGUAAGUCUAUUAUACUACUCCGGUCUGGAGCAUUGAAUCUAUCCGGAUCUAUUAAAAGACUGAAGGUUUAAGAACCCAUAGUAUCAAGAAGAGUUUUUAAUGACUUUAACGAUGAUUCAACGUGACUAAAAUCCAAUUCGUCAUGAGGU